RNAcentral lists this ribosomal RNA (253 nucleotides) under uncultured bacterium. Its description in RNAcentral is "partial 16S ribosomal RNA". It matches the Rfam family "Bacterial small subunit ribosomal RNA", at positions 524 to 776 of the family's 1533-position model. The record is from RNAcentral.
UACAGAGGGUGCAAGCGUUAUUCGGAAUUACUGGGCGUAAAGGGUGCGUAGGUGGUUUGGUAAGUUGGGUGUGAAAGUCCUGGGCUUAACCUGGGGAUUGCGCUCAAUACUGUCAAGCUAGAGUACUGUAGAGGAAGGUGGAAUUUCCAGUGUAGCGGUGAAAUGCGUAGAUAUUGGAAGGAACAUCAGUGGCGAAGGCGACUUGCUGGACAGAUACUGACACUGAGGCACGAAAGCGUGGGGAGCAAACAGG